GGUUAAGCGACUAAGCGUACACGGUGGAUGCCCUGGCAGUCAGAGGCGAUGAAGGACGUGCUAAUCUGCGAAAAGCGUCGGUAAGGUGAUAUGAACCGUUAUAACCGGCGAUGUCCGAAUGGGGAAACCCAGUGUGAUUCGUCACACUAUCGUUAACUGAAUACAUAGGUUAACGAGGCGAACCGGGGGAACUGAAACAUCUAAGUACCCCGAGGAAAAGAAAUCAACCGAGAUUCCCCCAGUAGCGGCGAGCGAACGGGGAGCAGCCCAGAGUCUGAAUCAGCUUGUGUGUUAGUGGAACGGUCUGGAAAGUCCGACGGUACAGGGUGAUAGUCCCGUACACCAAAAUGCACAGGCUGUGAACUCGAAGAGUAGGGCGGGACACGUGGUAUCCUGUCUGAAUAUGGGGGGACCAUCCUCCAAGGCUAAAUACUCCUGACUGACCGAUAGUGAACCAGUACCGUGAGGGAAAGGCGAAAAGAACCCCGGCGAGGGGAGUGAAAAAGAACCUGAAACCGUGUACGUACAAGCAGUGGGAGCACCUUCGGGUGUGACUGCGUACCUUUUGUAUAAUGGGUCAGCGACUUAUAUUCUGUAGCAAGGUUAACCGUAUAGGGGAGCCGCAGGGAAACCGAGUCUUAACUGGGCGUUAAGUUGCAGGGUAUAGACCCGAAACCCGGUGAUCUAGCCAUGGGCAGGUUGAAGGUUGGGUAACACUAACUGGAGGACCGAACCGACUAAUGUUGAAAAAUUAGCGGAUGACUUGUGGCUGGGGGUGAAAGGCCAAUCAAACCGGGAGAUAGCUGGUUCUCCCCGAAAGCUAUUUAGGUAGCGCCUCGUGAAUUCAUCUUCGGGGGUAGAGCACUGUUUCGGCUAGGGGGUCAUCCCGACUUACCAACCCGAUGCAAACUACGAAUACCGAAGAAUGUUAUCACGGGAGACACACGGCGGGUGCUAACGUCCGUCGUGAAGAGGGAAACAACCCAGACCGCCAGCUAAGGUCCCAAAGUCAUGGUUAAGUGGGAAACGAUGUGGGAAGGCACAGACAGCCAGGAUGUUGGCUUAGAAGCAGCCAUCAUUUAAAGAAAGCGUAAUAGCUCACUGGUCGAGUCGGCCUGCGCGGAAGAUGUAACGGGGCUAAACCAUGCACCGAAGCUGCGGCAGCGACACUAUGUGUUGUUGGGUAGGGGAGCGUUCUGUAAGCCUGCGAAGGUGACCUGUGAGGGUUGCUGGAGGUAUCAGAAGUGCGAAUGCUGACAUAAGUAACGAUAAAGCGGGUGAAAAGCCCGCUCGCCGGAAGACCAAGGGUUCCUGUCCAACGUUAAUCGGGGCAGGGUGAGUCGACCCCUAAGGCGAGGCCGAAAGGCGUAGUCGAUGGGAAACAGGUUAAUAUUCCUGUACUUGGUGUUACUGCGAAGGGGGGACGGAGAAGGCUAUGUUAGCCGGGCGACGGUUGUCCCGGUUUAAGCAUGUAGGCUGAUUGUCCAGGCAAAUCCGGAUAAUCAAGGCUGAGGUGUGAUGACGAGGCACUACGGUGCUGAAGUAACAAAUGCCCUGCUUCCAGGAAAAGCCUCUAAGCAUCAGGUAACAUUAAAUCGUACCCCAAACCGACACAGGUGGUCAGGUAGAGAAUACCAAGGCGCUUGAGAGAACUCGGGUGAAGGAACUAGGCAAAAUGGUGCCGUAACUUCGGGAGAAGGCACGCUGGUGUGUAGGUGAAGUCCCUGCGGAUGGAGCUGAGACCAGUCGAAGAUACCAGCUGGCUGCAACUGUUUAUUAAAAACACAGCACUGUGCAAACACGAAAGUGGACGUAUACGGUGUGACGCCUGCCCGGUGCCGGAAGGUUAAUUGAUGGGGUUAUCCGUAAGGAGAAGCUCUUGAUCGAAGCCCCGGUAAACGGCGGCCGUAACUAUAACGGUCCUAAGGUAGCGAAAUUCCUUGUCGGGUAAGUUCCGACCUGCACGAAUGGCGUAAUGAUGGCCAGGCUGUCUCCACCCGAGACUCAGUGAAAUUGAACUCGCUGUGAAGAUGCAGUGUACCCGCGGCAAGACGGAAAGACCCCGUGAACCUUUACUAUAGCUUGACACUGAACAUUGAGCCUUGAUGUGUAGGAUAGGUGGGAGGCUUUGAAGCGUGGACGCCAGUCUGCGUGGAGCCAACCUUGAAAUACCACCCUUUAAUGUUUGAUGUUCUAACGUUGGCCCCUUACCGGGGUUGCGGACAGUGUCUGGUGGGUAGUUUGACUGGGGCGGUCUCCUCCCAAAGCGUAACGGAGGAGCACGAAGGUUAGCUAAUCCUGGUCGGACAUCAGGAGGUUAGUGCAAUGGCAUAAGCUAGCUUGACUGCGAGCGUGACGGCGCGAGCAGGUGCGAAAGCAGGUCAUAGUGAUCCGGUGGUUCUGAAUGGAAGGGCCAUCGCUCAACGGAUAAAAGGUACUCCGGGGAUAACAGGCUGAUACCGCCCAAGAGUUCAUAUCGACGGCGGUGUUUGGCACCUCGAUGUCGGCUCAUCACAUCCUGGGGCUGAAGUAGGUCCCAAGGGUAUGGCUGUUCGCCAUUUAAAGUGGUACGCGAGCUGGGUUUAGAACGUCGUGAGACAGUUCGGUCCCUAUCUGCCGUGGGCGCUGGAGAAUUGAGGGGGGCUGCUCCUAGUACGAGAGGACCGGAGUGGACGCAUCACUGGUGUUCGGGUUGUCAUGCCAAUGGCACUGCCCGGUAGCUAAAUGCGGAAGAGAUAAGUGCUGAAAGCAUCUAAGCACGAAACUUGCCCCGAGAUGAGUUCUCCCUGAGACUUUAAGUCUCCUGAAGGAACGUUGAAGACGACGACGUUGAUAGGCCGGGUGUGUAAGCGCAGCGAUGCGUUGAGCUAACCGGUACUAAUGAACCGUGAGGCUUAACCUU
Molecule: ribosomal RNA, 2902 nt
Filed under: Klebsiella pneumoniae
Lineage: Bacteria; Pseudomonadati; Pseudomonadota; Gammaproteobacteria; Enterobacterales; Enterobacteriaceae
Description: 23S ribosomal RNA
Rfam family: Bacterial large subunit ribosomal RNA
Source: RNAcentral